UGGGAGAGUCCAGAGUGAACAGGACCCUGA
RNAcentral lists this non-coding RNA (30 nucleotides) under Mus musculus (house mouse). The record is from RNAcentral. Lineage: Eukaryota; Metazoa; Chordata; Mammalia; Rodentia; Muridae.